Molecule: non-coding RNA, 3429 nt
Organism: Doryrhamphus excisus (bluestripe pipefish)
Lineage: Eukaryota; Metazoa; Chordata; Actinopteri; Syngnathiformes; Syngnathidae
Source: RefSeq, a predicted model, not a curated record
CGCAGCGGGAAGCAGUGGCCAAUAGCUGAGUCAAUAAGGUAGCUCUGCUUCUAUUUAUUGUACUGUUGAGGGGCAGCCUGUGCUCUCUUGACGCAGUUUGCCUUCCACACGCAAAUUUUAAAUUUGUCGUCAAAAAUAAAUUCUGCAAGAUGUCGAAAGAUAUUCCCCGUGAGCCAGAGCAGCUCCGCAAGCUGUUCAUCGGCGGCUUGAGCUUCGAGACCACAGACGAGAGUUUGCGGGACCAUUUCCAAAACUGGGGGAGUCUUACAGAUUGUGUGGUGAUGAGAGACCCCGGCAGCAAGAGGUCCAGGGGUUUUGGCUUUGUCACCUACUCAUCUGUCCAGGAGGUUGAUGCUGCCAUGGGUGCCCGACCCCACAAGGUUGACGGAAGAGUGGUAGAACCCAAGCGAGCAGUUUCCAGAGAGGAUUCCAAUCGACCGGGUGCUCAUGUAACCGUGAAGAAAAUAUUUGUUGGGGGAAUUAAAGAGGACACAGAGGAAUCGCACCUGCGUGAUUAUUUCCAGGAGUUUGGAAAAAUUGAGGUUAUUGAAAUAAUGAAUGAUCGCAACACUGGCAAGAAGAGGGGAUUUGCUUUUGUGACCUUUGAUGACCACGACUCAGUCGACAGGAUUGUCAUCCAGAAAUAUCACACAAUUAACUCACACAACUGUGAAGUAAGGAAGGCCCUUCCAAGGCAGGAUAUGCAGUCAGGAAUGGGAAUGAGAGGAGGAUUUUCAGGUGGUCGGAGUGGUGGCGGAAGGCCCUAUGACUAUGACAGAGGUUUCAACCAGGGUGGCAGGGGCAGAUACGGAGACAGCCAUUACAACUGCAAUGGAGGCGAUGGUGGUUAUGGAGGCGGUAUUGGUGGAUAUAACAAUGGAGGCAGCCGUGGCUAUAACCAGGGCUACAGCCAGGGUGGAGGCGGAGGUGGCGGCUAUGGUGGAAAUGGCUACGACAGCAACGGUUAUGGCAACUGCGGCGGAGGUGGCGGCGGCGGCGGAAACUACAACAACAUGGGCCACUACGACUCCCAGUCCUCUAACUUCGGCCCAAUGAAGAACAACUUUGGUGGUGGUGGCGGCGGCGGUGGCGGCAGGAGCUAUGGCGGAUACGGAGGAAGCUCAAACAGCGGAUAUGGACGUCAAGGGCGGUUUUGAAGCGACAAGGAAGUGCAGUGAAGUGUACUCUCAGUGGGGGGGACCAACUUCUUCUGACAACAAAUAAUCAGAAUCCUCAGAAGGAUGAAUUGGUGCUGAAGAUAUUCAUCCAGGUCAGACGAGAGCUGUCCUAUCUCGUCAAAAUUAUACGCUCAUGACGUUUGUUUUUUUUUGUGAACUUUUUAAUAAAAUUUUAUUUUUUUAAUGAAACUUGUAAUGUGUUUUUUGUAUAAAAAUACAAUACAAAAUCUCCAGAUUUAGGACUUAAGGACUUUGGUCUAUUUCAAAGGUCGGCACAAAAAAAAUCAACAAAAAAAAAAAGGUCGGCACAAAAAAAUAUCAAAAAAUAAAAAAAAGUCGGCACAAAAAAAAUCAAAAAAUAAAAAAAAGUCGGCACUAAAAAAAUCAAAAAAUAAAAAAAAGUCGGCAUAAAAAAAUAAAAAAAAGUCGGCACAAAAAAAUCAAAAAAUAAAAAAAAGUUGGCACAAAAAAAAUCAAAAAAUAAAAAAAAGUUGGCACAAAAAAAAUCAAAAAAUAAAAAGUCGGCACAAAAAAAAUCAAAAAAUAAAAAAAAGUCGGCACAAAAAAAAUCAAAAAAUAAAAAAAAGUCGGCACAAAAAAAAUCAAAAAAUAAAAAAAAAGUCGGCACAAAAAAUAAAAAAAUAAAAAAAAGUCGGCACACAAAAAAAUCAAAAAAAAAGUCGGCACAAUAUUUUCACAUAUCUAAUGUACAUAUUUCAGCAUUGUUCUCUCUUCUGCACUUUUUGCGGCACCAAAUAUAUUUUACCGUCCUGCGUCUGCUGUAAGUAGUACUCAUCUACUGAAUACGGUUGUCCAGUCUCAUCCCUCAGGUGAGCGAACACUUGGGCGUACAGGUCUGUCAGGUGGUGCUUAAUGUAAGCCAAGCUGUGCUGGAACUCCAACCUCUCCUGGACCAGACUCUCCCUCUGGACCUGCAGCUGACCCAGCUCUCGUUCCAGGUGAUUUAUACUGUCCAGUUUCCGCUUUCUGCAGUUUUGCGCUGCCACUUUAUUCUUGCCUCUUCGCCUGAUGUCCUUAAUGAGUACGAGUUGGGCGUCGGUCAGGGUGCACUGCGUCACUAAUUCGUUGAAGUCGUCAACUGGCAGAUUGAUGAUCUUAUCUACGGGGAAGGGGAUCUUCAACGCCAUGGCUCGCCGCUCGUCUCUGCUUGCUGGUGGCGGUUGUAGACUCCCUGGAGGUUUUGCAUGCACCGUGUGUUCCCAGCCGCCACUAGUGGGCGGUGCAGAGCUGUAAAAGUCAACUAAAGACUGAGGUUUCACCGUCUGAGAAUGGAUAGAACUUGAAUUGGUGAAAUAAGACUGUUGUUCUCCCGUGUGUAAAUAAGAGUCGGGUUGAUUCUGGUACUCUGUCGGGUAGUGAUGUGAUCUCUCCGAGAUUUCUUGAUCUGAACGUGAAAUGGACAUAUAACUCGGUGCAACAGCGGUAGGAUUUUCAGGCGAGGCUAAAGGCGGACUGGACCCUAGAGAUAAACCGGAGUCUGAUUCCAUAUCAUCAACUGAACAAGCAUGGGAACUUUUUCCAUGUAAGGUCCACAUCAUGCGGCGCCCCACCGGAGCUUGAGUAUGACUACCAUUGGGUCUUUUGUCCGCUUGACUUAUACAAGACGAACUCAUACGUUCUGCGAGUAAGUGAUGAGGUUGAGACGACAUGGGCGACAAGUUCUGGUUGAGCUGAGGUCCAGGUUGGGCGUACAGAUCCUGUAUGCGGUGGCAGGCCUCCUCGGUGUAACCUCCGUCGUACGUGUGCACCGUGCUCUCGUAUCCGGAAGGAACGAGUUCGGAGUGGAGUGUCCCGUAUACCGCUAACGGAACCAUCGGCUCCGUGCUCGGGUAUUGUGUUGCAUCAUAUGAGCUCUCACCAGGAGAUGUCUCUAAUCCCUGCAACAACAAGGCAUUCCGAUUAAUGACUUGUCUUAAUCAAUGAACAUAAUUAGUCAUAUACUGUACAUUGAACGGUUGUUUACAUAAAUACAUACUCUUAAAGUAAUUCUGACACUUGAUUUAAUACAUAAAUGCAAUGUAAAAAAAUUAAUUGAUUUAGAUUAACUUUCUGAGUUGCUAACUUAAUUUUUAAAGUUAUGUUCAAAUAAUAAUGUUGGUUAUUACAUGAACUUAAUUUAGCAUAUUCAUAUAAACUCAAAUUAACCUUUCAAUUUUAAGUUCCAUCUCCUACAAGACACUGCAAGAGACUGAAGCAACAUUUCAUGGUGAGUAAAAAUGUAUUUCUAAUU